Aotus nancymaae (Ma's night monkey) is the source of this 2442-nucleotide long non-coding RNA. The record is from Ensembl. Lineage: Eukaryota; Metazoa; Chordata; Mammalia; Primates; Aotidae.
UUCCUUGUCCGUCCUGCGACCUCUCCUGCUCCAGUGCGAGACCCUCGGCCCUCUCUCUCCAUCUCAGAUCUCUCUUCCUGUCCGUCCGCCGACCUCUCCUGCUCCAGUGGAGACCCUCGGCCCUCUCUCUCCAUUCUCAAGAUCUACGUUCCUAUCUGUUGCAGACCUCUCCUGCUCCAGUGGAAGACCCUCGGCCCGUCUUCUCUCAUCUCAGAUCUCUCUUCCUCAUCCGUCUGCAGACCGUCUGCCUGCUCCAGUGGAGACCCCCGGUUCUCUUGGAAACCAGCCUAACCGCAUUCCCAGCCGUGGAAGCAGAUGUGGGCCCAGCCUGGUCCACCCGAGGUCUUCUAUGUGGAAAGGCCUCCCUUUCCCUCUGUGUCCUCUCCACAUAUCUUUUGGGCCCCUAGCCCCCACGGGUUCUGGGCCCCACAAUCUGGGCCUUGGGUAUCCCUCGGGGCUGUUCCUCCCAUGCAUCUGGCCUCCACCCUAGCGCCUCGGCCUCCCCCUCCCACCCCAGCCUCCACCCCGGCUCCCCUGGUCUCUACCCCAGCACCUCCAACCUCCACCCUCACACCCACAGCUGUCCCCCAAGGCUUUCCGAUCCCUGAGCCAAGCAGCUCCGCCCUGCCUACAAGCCUGGGGCCCAAGUCUAGGAGGAGCAGAGCCCUUCCCCAAGAGGCUGCCGAGCCGGUCACUGAAGCUGGCCAGGGGCCUGGCCCUCAGCUCAGGGGUGUCCUGGGCCAGGUAGUGGCAGCUCGGCUGUUCCCUGACAGCCCGGAGGACCCGCCUCCUCACCUAAAGGGCCCACCUCCACCCGAGGCUGGAUCUCCGAAAGUCAAGACCACACAACCCCAAACCAAGGUGACUCCCCCUCCAUCUGAAUCCCAGCGUCCGGCCAAGGCCAUGCCACCUGCAUCAGGGUCAGUGAUCUGGAAGGCCAAAGCCACUCCUUCCCUUGGAGCAUGGCCACAGCCCGAGGUCCCACCCACUCCAGCAGAGCUGACAUCCACAGUCAGGGCCACGCAGCCUGCCUUCCAGGCUGGGUCUCCGGAGGCCCUGGCCCCGCCCCCACCCGCUGCUCACCAUCGCCCCUCAGAGGCCCUGCUCACCCAGGCAGCCCGGCUGCUGGAGGCUGCAGAAGACUCUGACGGCAGCGAGUUCCAGGAUGAUCCUGUGCUCCAGGUGCUGAGAGCCCAGAGGGCAGAGCUGAGUCGGCAGAAAAGGGAAGCAGACACCCUAUUAUCGUUCCUGUUGAACCAGGCCAAAGACCCGGGAUCUUGGUCUCCUCCAGCCAGGUCGCCCCCCAGGUCCCCAAGGAGGCUGCUGCGAAGGGAAGGCGCUUUCCUGGAUGCCAGACGACUUUGAAUUGUACAGAUUCUGGAUUCUAUUUUAUCCAGAAAAAAAAGCAUCAAGCCUGGAGGCUGGCCUGUAAUAAGCAGUAGAAGAGGAGACAAGAAAAUGUCCAGUGGGCAGGAGGAGGCCAAGUCGCAGAAAGCCUAGGUUUAUGUCCCAGGCAAGGUGUCUGAGGUAAUGAGAAACGUCCAUGGGCAGAGCGUCCUCGGGAUGAUGUAAGCAGGGUCGGGAUCAGGACUGAAAAGGUGGGACUUGGGACUGGGACUUUGAAAAGCCACUUGAGGAACGGGGCACUGCUCUGAGGCCGUGGGAGAAUCCAAUUAAGAAUAUCAGGGCCUGGAGUGGUGGCUCAUGCCUGUCAUCCCAGCGCUUUGAAAGGAGGCUGAGGCGGGAGGAUCUCUUGAGCCCCGGAGAUCAAGACCAGCCUGGGUAACAUAGUGAGACCCCAUGUCUCAAAAAAUUAGCCAGGCGUGGUGGCGCGUGCCUGUAGUCCCAGCUACUUGGGAGGUAUUGCUUGAGCCCAGGAGACUGAGGCUGCAGUAAGCCAAGAUUGCAAGACUACGUUCCAGCCUGAGCGACAGAGCGACACCCUGUCUCUUAAAAAAAAAAAAAAAAAAGUCCGGGCGCGGUGGCUCACGCCUGUAAUCCCAGCACUUUGGGAGGCCGAGAUGGGAGGAUCACCUGAGGUCAGGAGUUCGAGACCAGCCUGGCCAACAUGGUGACACCCCCAUCUCUAUUUAUAAAAUUUAAAAAUAAAAAUUUUUAAAAAGUCAGAAGAAUGGCCACUGUGAGUGGACGAAGGGGAGGGUCCAUUGCGUGUUGGAAGUGUCGGAAGCAAAGCAUAAAGAACCUGGGGGCGUGUCUCAGUAGGGCGAUGACAGCCAAUGAAAAGCAGUCAUGGGCGUGGCGCUGUCAAACUUCGGGGGGUGGGACUGAAGAUACCGAGCCAGGGCAGAGCCCAAGGAGAAGCCAAUGAGAAGCCGCCUGGUGGGCGGGGCAUUGACCUAAGGCCAAGGGCAGAGCCAAUUAGAAGCAGCGUCGCUUCCCCUCUGCCUCCCGCCCCCGUGGGGCGCGCGCCGGAGCCUUGGG